CUGGCAUGGCUUCACACAGAACUAUGGGGUCCCUCUCCCCAAGGCAGCCAAGAGGAAGGCACGGAGGGAGACAAGCCUUUCUAAGGAAGUGCUUUUACAAGAAAAUGACUGUGAUACCAACAAGCAUCUGGCCUAACAUUUUAAGACAUGGGCCACUGGUUGGACUUAAUUUGGGGGUGUAUUAUUUCAAGGUGCUGAUUGUGACUGCUUCUGGACUCAAAAUUUAAAUGUUGGGCAUCUAGAGCCUUUCCUAUGGCAGAAAUCCUAUGUGGCCUGAAGACUUGCUCUCAGAAGCAGCAGCUGAUUGUUGCAUGUUUUCUCUAGUGCUAGCCCCUGCAGUUUCACUGCUGCCAGCUAAUUCAUGUUCAUACAGCUUUAGCACCCGGAGGCCCCUCAGGGUGAGGACAUCUCUGCAUGAGGUGCUCUACAACGCCCUGCGUGGGCUCAGGAUCUUGCAAUUUCAGGGUCUUCUUCAAAGUGCCUCAAUAAGGAGGGGAAACCUUUCAGCACUUUUUGUGAGGCUAGGUUAUGCUCCAGGCAAAGGUGUGUCAGUGUACUUGGCUCCUUCUCAUCUCAUUGUGCCCAGCAGUCACAGGAGCCCACAGAGCAAUCAAUCACCCACCUUUGGGGAAUAACCAGUCUUGGCCGCAGCUCCAACAGAGAACGUCACAGUGCUCAGUGGGAGCAAACUUGUGUACAGUACUCAAAUAACCGAGGUGUCCAGCACAACUCCUCAUUAGAGCUGGAAUGAGGGAUUGUUCAAGUGCUUUUUGAAGGAGCUAAUGAGGUUUGGCAUUCAGAUCAGCUUAUUCCCAACUCUUGAUUUGCUUCCCUGGGUAAGCUGCUGCUUGUGGUAACUCUUGUUUCAUGGUUGAGUGGCCUGCUCUGCUGAGAAGCAGCCAUUGCAGGAGCUUUUGAUAGGGGCACUGAGCUUUUGAGACCUUCCAAAUGAAAGCUGAGUGCAGAACUUGUAAAAGAGCAUCACGUGGGUGAUGCUUUUCAUGUUACAUCUUUUGUCUGUGCUCCUUGCCAUGCACAG
Molecule: long non-coding RNA, 1039 nt
Organism: Athene cunicularia (burrowing owl)
Lineage: Eukaryota; Metazoa; Chordata; Aves; Strigiformes; Strigidae
Exons: 2
Source: RefSeq, a predicted model, not a curated record